Trichomycterus rosablanca is the source of this 1016-nucleotide long non-coding RNA. RefSeq lists it as uncharacterized. The transcript is spliced from 5 exons. The record is from RefSeq and is a predicted model, not a curated record. Lineage: Eukaryota; Metazoa; Chordata; Actinopteri; Siluriformes; Trichomycteridae.
UUGUAAUGAGUCUGUAACUAUGGUGAUAUUAUGUCAUCACGUGCCACGUCAUCACUUGACAUUGGUAAGAUGGCGGAUGUAGUAUGUAGCGGUGUUGUGUGCAUACUGCACACUUCUGUACUGAUAGUUUGUACUUCUUUACCGGCCGAGUAGUGCGUACUUCAUCGUAUCUAGUACGUACUCUGUAAGUAUGCGAUUCCGGACGCAGCUAGACACUCCAAGUCUCCCGGAAGGUACGUGGCGGCUCCACAGGUGAGGGUCACUUCAGCCUGGUGAACGUGGUGUUAGGGACAGGAGAAGAACUUUGUGGAGAACAAUCUGCUAAAAGUUUCCAUGUGAUGGAUGAGUUGGAUGGAGGAUUUUCUUUAAUCUGACCAUCACAGCUACACCACAGAACUGAGGGAAAGAUGGAAAACAUUCUGUUCUAAAGUUCAGUUCUUUGGAGUCAUGAAAAAUGUCAUGAGGUCACCAGUGACUCUGGAUGAAGUGCAACAGUCCAUUGAGAUUUUGAACGGCCUUCCAGCACUCUUCCCAUCAGGAGUUGCACCACCACAGAAACUGGGACAGCCGAGUGAGGCUCUGUUUCAUCUUCUCAUGCCCUCUGAAAACGCUGCUGCUUUUCUUAGCAGAUGUCGUCUAUCAACCCCCUGCUUCUAACUGACCAGGAUAACUGCAUGAUCAGUGUUGGGAAGAACCCAGUGAGAACAUUCCCCAAAGACCUGCUGCACCAAGGUGUUCUGUACGUCAUGGUGUACUAUUAUGUGCUGCAAGUCAGGUCCAGAUUGAAGGACCCUUUUUAUUCUUAUUUUAUGUUUAAAGAUGGUAUAUGAAGACCAAGCAAUGUUGUUAAUGUUGUAUACAGAGGGACAUUGUUAUUGGAAAGCCUUGACAUCUAAGAUUUACGUGUUUUAAUAGAAUUCUCAGAAGCUGCCUGAACCUGCUUGUUGUGUAUUUGGAUAAAGCUGCCAUGAUGGCACACUUGUUAAAGUUAAUAAAAAUUGAUAGAUAAAAAUUCA